CUGGCGGAUCGGCAGGCUUUCGGCAGCCGCUUUCAGCGCGGCGCGCCGCGUGCCGCGCGGUCGAUGGC
This 68-nucleotide transfer RNA is filed under the name Allostella humosa. RNAcentral describes it as "Stella humosa tRNA-SeC". The record is from RNAcentral. Lineage: Bacteria; Pseudomonadati; Pseudomonadota; Alphaproteobacteria; Rhodospirillales; Allostellaceae.